Molecule: ribosomal RNA, 253 nt
Filed under: uncultured bacterium
Lineage: Bacteria
Description: partial 16S ribosomal RNA
Rfam family: Bacterial small subunit ribosomal RNA
Source: RNAcentral
UACAUGGGGUGCAAACGUUGCUCGGAAUUAUUGGGCGUAAAGCGCACGUAGGCGGUUCGUUAAGUCGGAUGUGAAAGCCCUCGGCUCAACUGAGGAAGUGCACCCGAAACUGGCGAGCUUGAGUACGAAAGAGGAUCGCGGAAUUCCCGGUGUAGAGGUGAAAUUCGUAGAUAUCGGGAGGAACACCGGUGGCGAAGGCGGCGACCUGGGUAGAUACUGACGCUGAGGUGCGAAAGCGUGGGGAGCAAACAGG